UGGGGAAUAUCGGACAAUGGGCGGAAGCCUGAUCCAGCCAUGCCGCGUGUGUGAAGAAGGCCUUUUGGUUGUAAAGCACUUUAAGCGAGGAGGUGGCUCUUCUAGUUAAUACCUAGGAUGAGUGGACGUUACUCGCAGAAUAAGCACCGGCUAACUCUGUGCCAGCAGCCGCGGUAAUACAGAGGGUGCGAGCGUUAAUCGGAUGUACUUGGCGGAAAGCGGGCGUAGGCGGCUGAUUAAGUCGGAUGUGAAAUACCUGAGCUUAACUAAGAGAUUGCAUUCGAUACAGGUCAGCUAGAGUAUGGGAGAGAAUGGUAGCUGUCAAGGUGUAGCGGUGCAAUGCGUAGAGAUCUGGAGGAAUACCGAUGGCGAAGGCAGCCAUCUGGCCUAAUCCUGACGCUGAGGUACGAAAGAAAGGGGAGCAAACAGG
RNAcentral lists this ribosomal RNA (430 nucleotides) under Pseudomonadota bacterium. Its description in RNAcentral is "Proteobacteria bacterium partial 16S ribosomal RNA". It matches the Rfam family "Bacterial small subunit ribosomal RNA", at positions 355 to 776 of the family's 1533-position model. Lineage: Bacteria; Pseudomonadati; Pseudomonadota. The record is from RNAcentral.